This 31-nucleotide non-coding RNA is filed under the name Rattus norvegicus (Norway rat). The record is from RNAcentral. Lineage: Eukaryota; Metazoa; Chordata; Mammalia; Rodentia; Muridae.
UAUUUUAUAUUAUUUGAGACUAUUGUGAAGU